Molecule: ribosomal RNA, 673 nt
Filed under: uncultured Bacillus sp.
Lineage: Bacteria; Bacillati; Bacillota; Bacilli; Caryophanales; Bacillaceae
Description: bacterial SSU rRNA
Rfam family: Bacterial small subunit ribosomal RNA
Source: RNAcentral
ACGCUGGCGGCGUGCCUAAUACAUGCAAGUCGAGCGAAUGGAUUAAGAGCUUGCUCUUAUGAAGUUAGCGGCGGACGGGUGAGUAACACGUGGGUAACCUGCCCAUAAGACUGGGAUAACUCCGGGAAACCGGGGCUAAUACCGGAUAAUAUUUUGAACCGCAUGGUUCGAAAUUGAAAGGCGGCUUCGGCUGUCACUUAUGGAUGGACCCGCGUCGCAUUAGCUAGUUGGUGAGGUAACGGCUCACCAAGGCAACGAUGCGUAGCCGACCUGAGAGGGUGAUCGGCCACACUGGGACUGAGACACGGCCCAGACUCCUACGGGAGGCAGCAGUAGGGAAUCUUCCGCAAUGGACGAAAGUCUGACGGAGCAACGCCGCGUGAGUGAUGAAGGCUUUCGGGUCGUAAAACUCUGUUGUUAGGGAAGAACAAGUGCUAGUUGAAUAAGCUGGCAUCUUGACGGUACCUAACCAGAAAGCCACGGCUAACUACGUGCCAGCAGCCGCGGUAAUACGUAGGUGGCAAGCGUUAUCCGGAAUUAUUGGGCGUAAAGCGCGCGCAGGUGGUUUCUUAAGUCUGAUGUGAAAGCCCACGGCUCAACCGUGGAGGGUCAUUGGAAACUGGGAGACUUGAGUGCAGAAGAGGAAAGUGGAAUUCCAUGUGUAGCGGUGAAA